AUGCACGCUGGCGGCGUGCCUAAUACAUGCAAGUCGAGCGAACAGACGAGGAGCUUGCUCCUCUGACGUUAGCGGCGGACGGGUGAGUAACACGUGGAUAACCUACCUAUAAGACUGGGAUAACUUCGGGAAACCGGAGCUAAUACCGGAUAAUAUAUUGAACCGCAUGGUUCAAUAGUGAAAGACGGUUUUGCUGUCACUUAUAGAUGGAUCCGCGCCGCAUUAGCUAGUUGGUAAGGUAACGGCUUACCAAGGCAACGAUGCGUAGCCGACCUGAGAGGGUGAUCGGCCACACUGGAACUGAGACACGGUCCAGACUCCUACGGGAGGCAGCAGUAGGGAAUCUUCCGCAAUGGGCGAAAGCCUGACGGAGCAACGCCGCGUGAGUGAUGAAGGUCUUCGGAUCGUAAAACUCUGUUAUUAGGGAAGAACAAAUGUGUAAGUAACUAUGCACGUCUUGACGGUACCUAAUCAGAAAGCCGCGGCUAACUACGUG
Molecule: ribosomal RNA, 496 nt
Filed under: uncultured bacterium
Lineage: Bacteria
Description: partial 16S ribosomal RNA
Rfam family: Bacterial small subunit ribosomal RNA
Source: RNAcentral